UCCUGGAUAUGGGGGUGACACCGUGCUUUGCCGUCCACCUGCUGAGUCCUGCGCGGACUCUCUGAAGAUGUUCCAUAAAAACGUUUCCAGGGAAAAGCCUUAUUUUUGGUAAUAUCAUCUCUGCCUACACUGCCAGAGUUCACUGGAUAAUUGCUGAAGUCUAUGAAAAGAAACACCAGGAGCAAAAGUGUGUUAGGUUUGAACACCUGGGACGUUUGGGUUGGAAAUCAGGGGAAACGUAACCUGAGAACGUGAGGGAAGGUGCGGUUUAGGACAAGGCUGCGAGACUGCCUGGAAGACCCUAGGGGAGCCACGAGGCUGGGGCCCACGGGGCACCCGGGAAGCCUGGCCGCCCCCGACUGUCUCAGCCUUGGGUGUUAUCGCAUCACAGGCUCUUUUCUGGUUUCCAUGGAUCAUGGAAGCUAAUAAUUGGGGUUAGGAACGCUUCGCAAGUUCUGUAAUCCCACCACUCAGGGAACAGGAGGAUAAAUCCCAUCUCCAGCCCCAGGACCACCCCCACACCCCCAGGACCCAUGGACAGGACAGGUGCACAGCUGGGCGGGCUUGUGGGAACCUGACCCUAAGUGCUCUGGCCACCGAGAGGAGACUGACAGCGCCCCCUGCAGGAGACUGUGCCAGAAAGCCAGCUCCUCGGCUCAGCUCAGGUCACGCGUCCGCGAGGUCUGUCAGUCUCAGUAUUUGCUUCCUGUAUACUGAAGCCAUGGUUAGACAUCCAACCUCAUCUGAAAUUGAGACAGCUUCCUGUGGGGGAUAUUUGUGUCACCAAAAGUCCCUCUCGCUCUUGGAGGUGUUUCUUGCCUUGGGCUUUGACACAAUUUGGGCUGCUUUGUUGAGAGUUCUCGUGGCCCUUUCUUCAGCCCUUUAUUCUAGCCCCCUGUGUUCUUGUACAGAAGGCAUAUCACGUUUAGCAACAUGCAGCUGACUUUUGCAUUUUUAUCCGAAUUAUAAUCUUUGUCUUUUACUUGGAUAGUUUAGUCCAUUUACAAUGAAAACAAUUUCUGAUAUAUUUGGCUCCCAUCUGCAAUCUCAUUUCAUUUUUUGUUUGUCUCACCUCUGUUGAAUUUCUC
This 1088-nucleotide long non-coding RNA is filed under the name Oryctolagus cuniculus (rabbit). RNAcentral describes it as "lncRNA (ENSOCUG00000035347.1)". The record is from RNAcentral. Lineage: Eukaryota; Metazoa; Chordata; Mammalia; Lagomorpha; Leporidae.